UGCUAUUUGCUGUCUACUAAUUACCCUUCGUCGCAUGCCCUCUGUCUGUUUGUUGCUCGCCGUCAGCCUACCCACCUUCUACCGUUUUCUACCCCCUCGCCGCCUGCCCUUUGGUUGUCACGGCACAUUGCCCGCCCUAUACCGUCUGCCAAUCACCCUCCGCUGCUCACAUAUGUUGCCUACUAGCUGCCCUCUGCCGUUCCUGCCCACCUUCCGCUGCUCUCCGCCCCCUGCCGCCCGUCAAUUAGUGUUACCGUCUGCCAUAUGCCACAUGCUAUUAUUUAUCACCCGUAAGUCCCCUCCAUCUGCCUCCAGUUGCAUUUUUCUGCUAUCUGUUACUUGUAUUUGUUAGUCACCUUGUGUAGGUAGUUGUAGUUGUGACUGUCGUUAAAAAUUUAAACAUUACUAAAAUUAAAAAAAAAAAAUUGAUUAAUUAACUUUUAUCUUUUAAUAUUAUUAUAUAAAUAAUAAUUUAAAUUAAUUUUUUAAGUGCAUAUAUUAUAUAAUAUAUAUUAUUAUAUAUACAAACGUAUGGUGAUAUAUAUAACGAUCUAUUAUGUCUAACAUCAACAGAAUACAUAUUAUAUAAUAUUAUGUAUAUAUGUAUUAAUAUACCAAAUACCAGUUUAUGCCGAUAUAUAUUAUCUUUUUCAUAUAUUUUUUGGUAAUUUUAGGAUCAACAAAUUUAUUUAUUUUUGGUAUAAAAAAGGUAAAAGUUAAAAGAAAAGAUGGUCAUGCACAUCCUGAUCGAAGAGACAUUCAUGAUAUCAUCAGUGAUAAACUGUUGGAAAUCAUUCGACACUUGAACAUGAGAAUGAAGCUCCACCGGUGGAGAAAAAUCAUCAUUCGUCAAAUAAUCAGCACAUUUAUUACUUUCGUGAUAGACAUUGAAUUCGAACUUGUCAAUCCUGUAAUAGUAAGUGAUUGUACGAAUGAGGGCGACAUGCGCAUUAGUAUCAUAAUAUUCUUUAGUGAGUAACUGCACCGCCAGAACACUAUCUGUAACACCCAACAUUUUAUUUUUUCUUAUUUUUAUUUUUUUAAUAUAAUUAUUUUUUAUUUAAUUUAUUUUAACUUAUUUUAUUCUAAUUUAAUGAAAAAAGUGGUAAAAAUUCGUUAAUGAUUAAAUUAAAACAAUUUUCGAAAAAAAUGAUGAAAAUUUGGGUUCCGGGGUAUUUUUAAAAGAAAAAUUAGAAAUUUGAGGUCAAAACAUUAUUUAAAAAAAUUACGGCACGUCGGAUGCCCGGUCAGCAACCCCGACCAACCAGGACGCAUCGGAUGCCCGGUCAGCAGCCGAAAACAGCCAACCCGAGAUGGAUCGCCGGAGUACGAUGGAGCUGCCAUGCUAGAUUUUUUAAAUUGGGCGAGUAGGCCCUGAAACUGAUUUUUGGGUUUAUUUGGAAUAUUUGUAAGUACUGUAAGCGCGUUUCAGUUUCCAAAGAAAAAUUCAGGGAACCUAGGGACCGCUCGUAGGUGCAAUGAACCAUUUAGCUUUUCAGCGUCAAAUCAAAUAAAGACUUCUCACCUUAUUUUCUAUCAUAGAAUUAAAAUUUGAAUAAAUAAUAAUAUGGUAUUUUGUACAAAUUAAAUAGAUGUGCAUAAUUAAUUACGGAUUGCUAAUGGAGCCUGAACCGGACAUUAUUUUCUGUUAAUUUAUUUUACAGUCUAAAAGUAUGAUGGUAUUUGGUUUAUCUACUUUAUGAUUUAAAUACAUGUAUUACUACCUUACUUGAUCACCGUGUGAUUUUGGGAUUUAAGAUAUGAUUACAUUAUCGGAUGCAUGUUCAUUUGUUUAUGUGAUUAUGUUUAAUUUGGCAACGGGGACUAAGGAAAAAUAGAAAAGGUAUGUGAUCAAAUAAACAGAUAAUACGAUAGCCUCACUAGAUAUAUUGGGAGAUGGUGGAUAGACUGGGUUCAUAGGGAACCUUACCGUGAACCUUGUCUCAUAUCGGACGGGGUAUGAAGACUUGGUCAUUUAGCACUCAUACCGGACGGUAUGGGGAUGACCUAUUUCACCAUCAUACCGGACGGGAUAUUGAGUUUUAAUGUCUUAGCACUCACACCGGAUGUGGUAUGGGGACAGCUCUGUAAUUAAGAUUGUUAAGGAAAAUGGUUCACGUAUAGCGGAGACACCCCUAUGGAUCUCCAUAGAUACUAGUAGGCUAGUGAAAUGAGAAAUGGUUAUGAUUUAGUUUAUUAUUAAUAAAUGUGAAUUUAUAAUAUGUUCUAUCUUGCUGAUCGUAUAUGAAAUUGUGAUCUGUAUGAUAUUAUUGCUUUUAUAAUUUGUUUCCAUAAAUUCUCCAAUGGUAAGUAAAAUAGUAAAUGGUUUUACUUUUAAUAAAUGUAUUGGUUUAAAUUUAGUGCUCCAUUGGUUAUUUUUUAUUUUCUACCAGCCUUUACUUUUGUGUCGGUGAUAUAGUGUAAUGUCCUUACUGGGCUAGUGUAGCUCACCUCUUAUUAAACCAUUUCAGAUCAAGAGGACCUGGUUUCCGA
RNAcentral lists this long non-coding RNA (2493 nucleotides) under Carica papaya (papaya). Its description in RNAcentral is "long non-coding RNA (CPAP_LNC012751)". Lineage: Eukaryota; Viridiplantae; Streptophyta; Magnoliopsida; Brassicales; Caricaceae. The record is from RNAcentral.